Molecule: non-coding RNA, 76 nt
Organism: Bombyx mori (domestic silkworm)
Lineage: Eukaryota; Metazoa; Arthropoda; Insecta; Lepidoptera; Bombycidae
Source: Rfam
GAAUGGAGGAGUGCGGCCUGGGGCAGCCGCUGAACCCUUGGUUCAGCGACUAUCUCAGGGCGCGCUCUUACCGUGU